UCACCGCGCCAAGCACUACGCACCUCUGGGACGCGUCGUUGCGGGGGGGUGGGGGGGCUGGGGCGCCUCCACGACGCCUGGUCUGCCCGGCAAGUGCUUGGUGUCGUUGGUGGGUUCGUAGCUGCGACAGGUAAACGUCCGUUCCGCGAGCCGGGCAAGGCAACCCCUGCGGGUCGCACCCGAAGGCCGGACCUCUCUAUAUUUCCUGUCUCAGUUUCUCCUGAAUUUGACCCACAGCUGGAGUGCGAGCUGGGCAAGUAGGUGCUGGGCAACUUCUGGGGAGACUCAGGCCUCCUUAUUGGCCAUCACAAAGCCCCAGAGAAAAAGAUGCUUCCAAAAACUGCAAGAUAAGAGGAACAGACUGCUGCCCAUGCUCCUCUGCCCUGCUGAGCACUCUGGGAGAUGGACCUGGUUGGACACUAGAGCUCCACCCUGCAGCUUUCAGGUGGGCUCAGUAGAUGGGGAUCCUGGAGGAGACUGUAGAGCAGCUGCUGGCACAGUUGUCCUGGAGCUACCUGGGCCCAGAUGCCCCAGCUCUCUCCAUGCAGACCUUUCUACCUACCUCUCCUCUCAUACUGGGCUGUCCGUGUAGGUCGUUAAUGUUCCUCCUGCCUCUUCACUGAUGCUGACUGUGCCAGG
Molecule: long non-coding RNA, 639 nt
Filed under: Pan paniscus (pygmy chimpanzee)
Lineage: Eukaryota; Metazoa; Chordata; Mammalia; Primates; Hominidae
Description: lncRNA (ENSPPAG00000045037.1)
Source: RNAcentral